Molecule: unclassified non-coding RNA, 354 nt
Filed under: soil metagenome
Description: partial contains 5.8S ribosomal RNA, internal transcribed spacer 2, and large subunit ribosomal RNA
Rfam family: 5.8S ribosomal RNA (bases 1-120)
Source: RNAcentral
GAUGAAGAACGCAGCGAAAUGCGAUAAGUAAUGUGAAUUGCAGAAUUCAGUGAAUCAUCGAAUCUUUGAACGCACAUUGCGCCCGCCAGUAUUCUGGCGGGCAUGCCUGUUCGAGCGUCAUUUCAACCCUCAGGCCCCCAGUGCCUGGCGUUGGGGAUCGGCGCGGCGCCCUCCGGGGCGCUGCCGGCCCCGAAAUUCGGUGGCGGUCUCGCUGUAGCCCUCCUCCGCGUAGUAGCACAACCUCGCGGCCUGGAGCUCGGCGGUGGCCAUGCCGUAAAACACCCCACUUCUGAAAGUUGACCUCGGAUCAGGUAGGAAUACCCGCUGAACUUAAGCAUAUCAAUAAGCGGAGGA